CGCGCGCUACACUGACCGAAACCAGCGAGUUUAUUUCCUUGGCCGGAAGGCCUGGGUAAUCUUGUGAAAUUCGGUCGUGAUGGGGAUAGAGCAUUGCAAUUAUUGCUCUUCAACGAGGAAUACCUAGUAAGCGUGAGUCAUCAGCUCGCGUUGAAUUCGUCCCUGCCCUUUGUACACACCGCCCGUCGCUACUACCGAUUGAAUGGCUUAGUGAGGCCUUCGGAUUGGCUUCUGGGAGCCGGCAACGGCACCUAGUCGCUGAGAAGUUUGACGAACUUGGUCAUUUAGAGGAAGUAAAAGUCGUAACAAGGUUUCCGUAGGUGAACCUGCGGAAGGAUCAUUAAUGAAUUUUAGGACGUUCUUUUUAGAAGUCCGACCCUUUCAUUUUCUUACACCGUGCACACACUUCUUUUUUACACACACUUUUAACACCUUAGUAUAAGAAUGUAAUAGUCUCUUAAUUGAGCAUAAAUAAAAACAAAACUUUCAGCAACGGAUCUCUUGGCUCUCGCAUCGAUGAAGAACGCAGCGAAUUGCGAUAAGUAAUGUGAAUUGCAGAAUUCAGUGAAUCAUCGAAUCUUUGAACGCACCUUGCACUCUUUGGUAUUCCGAAGAGUAUGUCUGUUUGAGUGUCAUGAAACUCUCAACCCCCCUAUUGUGGAAUGGAAAGGG
Molecule: ribosomal RNA, 672 nt
Filed under: Erythrobasidium clade sp. LM324
Lineage: Eukaryota; Fungi; Basidiomycota; Cystobasidiomycetes; Erythrobasidiales; Erythrobasidiaceae
Description: bacterial SSU rRNA
Rfam family: Eukaryotic small subunit ribosomal RNA (bases 1-343)
Source: RNAcentral